RNAcentral lists this non-coding RNA (30 nucleotides) under Homo sapiens (human). The record is from RNAcentral. Lineage: Eukaryota; Metazoa; Chordata; Mammalia; Primates; Hominidae.
UCAGAGUCUAACUUGCUCAUGUGAGGCCAC